AUUAUUUUGUGACUGAGUGGCGGACGGGUGAGUAACGCGUGGGUAACCUGCCUUGUACAGGGGGAUAACAGUUGGAAACGGCUGCUAAUACCGCAUAAGCGCACAGUACCGCAUGGUAUAGUGUGAAAAACUCCGGUGGUAUAAGAUGGACCCGCGUUUGAUUAGCUGGUUGGUGGGGUAACGGCCUACCAAGGCGACGAUCAAUAGCCGACCUGAGAGGGUGGCCGGCCACAUUGGGACUGAGACACGGCCCAAACUCCUACGGGAGGCGGCAGUGGGGAAUAUUGCACAAUGGGCGAAAGCCUGAUGCAGCGACGCCGCGUGAGCGAAGAAGUAUUUCGGUAUGUAAAGCUCUAUCAGCAGGGAAGAUAAUGACGGUACCUGACUAAGAAGCACCGGCUAAAUACGUGCCAGCAGCCGCGGUAAUACGUAUGGUGCAAGCGUUAUCCGGAUUUACUGGGUGUAAAGGGAGCGCAGGCGGUGCGGCAAGUCUGAUGUGAAAGCCCGGGGCUCAACCCCGGUACUGCAUUGGAAACUGUCGUACUAGAGUGUCGGAGGGGUAAGCGGAAUUCCUAGUGUAGCGGUGAAAUGCGUAGAUAUUAGGAGGAACACCAGUGGCGAAGGCGGCUUACUGGACGAUAACUGACGCUGAGGCUCGAAAGCGUGGGGAGCAAACAGGAUUAGAUACCCUGGUAGUCCACGCCCGUAAACGAUGAAUACUAGGUGUCGGGGAGGCAUUGCCUUUUCGGUGCCGUCGCCAAACGCAGU
Molecule: ribosomal RNA, 768 nt
Filed under: uncultured bacterium
Lineage: Bacteria
Description: bacterial SSU rRNA
Rfam family: Bacterial small subunit ribosomal RNA
Source: RNAcentral